UCUAUGGGCCGAGAGCAUACAUUGCAACCCAAGGUCCUCUUCCCACCACUGUCACUGACUUUUGGAGGAUGAUUUGGGAGUAUGAAGUCCUGAUCGUGGUCAUGGCCUGCAUGGAGUUUGAAAUGGGAAAG
Molecule: non-coding RNA, 131 nt
Organism: Meleagris gallopavo (turkey)
Lineage: Eukaryota; Metazoa; Chordata; Aves; Galliformes; Phasianidae
Source: RefSeq, a predicted model, not a curated record